RNAcentral lists this ribosomal RNA (460 nucleotides) under uncultured bacterium. RNAcentral's name for it is "partial 16S ribosomal RNA". It matches the Rfam family "Bacterial small subunit ribosomal RNA", at positions 338 to 795 of the family's 1533-position model. The record is from RNAcentral.
CCUACGGGAGGCAGCAGUGAGGAAUAUUGGUCAAUGGGCGCAAGCCUGAACCAGCCAAGUCGCGUGAGGGAUGACGGUCCUACGGAUUGUAAACCUCUUUUGUCGGGGAGCAAGGCCCGCCACGUGUGGCGGGAAGGAGAGUACCCGAAGAAAAAGCAUCGGCUAACUCCGUGCCAGCAGCCGCGGUAAUACGGAGGAUGCGAGCGUUAUCCGGAUUUAUUGGGUUUAAAGGGUGCGUAGGCGGAAGGUUAAGUCAGCGGUAAAAUGUCGGUGCUCAACACCGGCCUGCCGUUGAAACUGGUCUUCUUGAGUGAGCGAGAAGUAUGCGGAAUGCGUGGUGUAGCGGUGAAAUGCAUAGAUAUCACGCAGAACUCCGAUUGCGAAGGCAGCAUACCGGCGCUCAACUGACGCUGAGGCACGAAAGCGUGGGGAUCGAACAGGAUUAGAUACCCCGGUAGUC